GGGGGUAUAGCUCAGUGGUAGAGCAUUCGACAUUCCCCGGUUCAAACCCGGGUGCCCCCU
This 60-nucleotide transfer RNA is filed under the name Ixodes scapularis (black-legged tick). It matches the Rfam family "tRNA". From Rfam's summary of the family: Transfer RNA (tRNA) molecules are approximately 80 nucleotides in length. The record is from Rfam by way of RNAcentral. Lineage: Eukaryota; Metazoa; Arthropoda; Arachnida; Ixodida; Ixodidae.